RNAcentral lists this ribosomal RNA (258 nucleotides) under uncultured bacterium. RNAcentral describes it as "partial 16S ribosomal RNA". It matches the Rfam family "Bacterial small subunit ribosomal RNA", at positions 524 to 782 of the family's 1533-position model. The record is from RNAcentral.
UACGUAGGGUGCAAGCGUUAAUCGGAAUUACUGGGCGUAAAGCGUGCGCAGGCGGUUUGUAAGUUUGUCGUGAAAGCCCCGGGCUCAACCUGGGAACUGCGCUUGAUACGGCAGAGCUAGAGGAUGGAAGAGGCUCGCGGAAUUCCCAGUGUAGAGGUGAAAAUUCGUAGAUAUUGGGAAGAACACCGGUGGCGAAGGCGGCGAGCUGGACCGGAACUGACGCUGAGGCGCGAAAGCGUGGGGAGCGAACAGGAUAGA